RNAcentral lists this ribosomal RNA (1128 nucleotides) under uncultured bacterium. Its description in RNAcentral is "bacterial SSU rRNA". It matches the Rfam family "Bacterial small subunit ribosomal RNA", at positions 157 to 1282 of the family's 1533-position model. The record is from RNAcentral.
GGACAGCUAAUACCGCAUAAGUCCGGGAGGAGAAAGGUGCAACAGCAUCGGCAGAAGAGCGGCCCGCGGUCCAUCAGCUAGUUGGUGAGGUAAGGGCUUACCAAGGCGACGACGGAUAGCCGGCGUGAGAGCGUGGCCGGCCACAAGGACACUGAGAUACGGGUCCUACUCCUACGGGAGGCAGCAGUGCGGAAUUUUAGAUAAUGGAGGGAACUCUGAUCUAGCGACGCCGCGUGCAGGAAGAAGGUCUUCGGAUUGUAAACUGCUGUGGUAAGGGAAAAAUGCUAUGUAGAGUGGAAAGCUACAUAGAGGGAUGGUACCUUACUAGAAAGCCCCGGCUAACUACCUGCCAGCAGCCGCGGUAAUACGUAGGGGGCGAGCGUUACCCGGAAUCACUGGGCGUAAAGGGAGCGUAGGUGGCCUAACAUGUCAACUGUGAAAACCCGGAGCUCAACUCCGGGACUUGCAGUUGAAACUGGUAGGCUUGAGGACGGUAGAGGAAGACGGAACUGCCAGUGUAGGGGUAAAAUCCUUAGAUAUUGGCAGGAACGCCGGUGACGAAGGUGGUUUUCUGGGCCGGUUCUGACACUGAUGCUCGAAAGCCAGGGGAGCGAACGGGAUUAGAUACCCCGGUAGUCCUGGCCCUAAACGAUGUUCACUAGGUGUGGGGAGCGGAAAGCUCUCCGUGCUAAAGCUAACGCGAUAAGUGAACCGCCUGGGGAGUACGCCCGCAAGGGUGAAACUCAAAGGAAUUGACGGGGACCCGCACAAGCGGUGGAGCGUGUGGUUUAAUUCGAUGCUAAGCGAAGGACCUUACCAAGGUUUGACAUGCUAAUGGUAGUGAAUUGAAAGAGGAACGACCACACUAUGUGUGGAGUUAGCACAGGUGGUGCACGGCCGUCGUCAGCUCGUGUCGUGAGGUGUUGGGUUAAGUCCCGCAACGGGCGCAACCCCUGCUCUUAGUUACCAGCGGUAAGGCCGGGUACUCUAAGAGGACCGCCGCCGACGAGGCGGAGGAAGGGGGGGAUGAAGUCAGGUAUCGUGCCCCUUAUAUCUUGGGCGACACACGCGCUACAAUGGGUUGGACAGAAGGGACCAAGACAGCGAUGUGGAGGAAAUCCUCAAACC